RNAcentral lists this long non-coding RNA (220 nucleotides) under Bos taurus (domestic cattle). Its description in RNAcentral is "long non-coding RNA NONBTAT010662". Lineage: Eukaryota; Metazoa; Chordata; Mammalia; Artiodactyla; Bovidae. The record is from RNAcentral.
ACUAAGUUAUUUCUUUGGCUGACAGUUUCACUAAUGAGUUAGAAAGGUCAUUUGUAAUCUGCUACUGAAGAAAUAUGUCCCUGGCGUAUCAUAGGUGCUUUAAAGUUAUUUAUUGAAUGUGUUUUUGAAUCAAAGAGUGAAUGAAUAAACUUCGCUUUGAAUCUGUUUAUUCAGAAGGGAAAACAAAUGAACAUAUUCUCAGAAAUAGAAGACAGGAGGG